RNAcentral lists this ribosomal RNA (412 nucleotides) under Verrucomicrobiota bacterium. RNAcentral describes it as "Verrucomicrobia bacterium partial 16S ribosomal RNA". It matches the Rfam family "Bacterial small subunit ribosomal RNA", at positions 355 to 776 of the family's 1533-position model. The record is from RNAcentral. Lineage: Bacteria; Pseudomonadati; Verrucomicrobiota.
UGGGGAAUAUUGCGCAAUGGGGGAAACCCUGACGCAGCGACGCCGCGUGCGGGAUGAAGGCCUUCGGGUUUUAAACCGCUUUUGAUUGGGAGCAAGCCUUUUGGGUGAGUGUACCUUUCGAAUAAGCGCCGGCUAACUACGUGCCAGCAGCCGCGGUAAUACGUAGGGCGCAAGCGUUAUCCGGAAUUAUUGGGCGUAAAGAGCUUGUAGGCGGUUCGUCGCGUCUGGUGUGAAAGCACAUCGCUUAAAGGUGGGUUUGCGCCGGGUACGGGCGGGGUAGAGUGCAGUAGGGGAGACUGGAAUUCCCGGUGUAACGGUGGAAUGUGUAGAUAUCGGGAAGAACACCAAUGGCGAAGGCAGGUCUCUGGGCUGUUACUGAAGCUGAGAAGCGAAAGCGUGGGGAGCGAACAGG